UUUAGUUUUCCAUUGAAUGGCGCUAAAAUGAGGAAGCUAAUGAAAGAAAAUCCUCAAUUCUAUGAUGUCUCUCUUCUCACUGACACUUACUAUCGAUAUUUCGAGAUUGGUGUGGGGCAUUUUAUUACACAUGGUGGAUCACUAAACUACGCAAACACUUACGACUUUAAAAAGUACAGUGGGAUGUUAGCUGGCGCUCCUGAUCCAUCGAGUAAUACAGCAAAGAUUCGGUC
Paramuricea clavata is the source of this 233-nucleotide non-coding RNA. NCBI's taxonomy places the organism in Eukaryota, Metazoa, Cnidaria, Anthozoa, Malacalcyonacea, Plexauridae. The record is from the annotation of a GenBank genome assembly.